GCCCUCGUAGCUCAGAUGGAUAGAGCGUCGGUUUCCUAAACCGCAGGCCACAGGUUCGACUCCUGUCGAGGGUA
This 74-nucleotide transfer RNA is filed under the name Ignavibacteria bacterium. RNAcentral's name for it is "tRNA-Arg". It matches the Rfam family "tRNA". From Rfam's summary of the family: Transfer RNA (tRNA) molecules are approximately 80 nucleotides in length. Their secondary structure includes four short double-helical elements and three loops (D, anti-codon, and T loops). Further hydrogen bonds mediate the characteristic L-shaped molecular structure. tRNAs have two regions of fundamental functional importance: the anti-codon, which is responsible for specific mRNA codon recognition, and the 3' end, to which the tRNAs corresponding amino acid is attached (by aminoacyl-tRNA synthetases). tRNAs cope with the degeneracy of the genetic code in two manners: having more than one tRNA (with a specific anti-codon) for a particular amino acid; and 'wobble' base-pairing, i.e. permitting non-standard base-pairing at the 3rd anti-codon position. The record is from RNAcentral. Lineage: Bacteria; Pseudomonadati; Ignavibacteriota; Ignavibacteria.